UACAGAGGAGCCAAGCGUUGUCCGGAAUUACUGGGCGUAAAGAGCUCGUAGGUGGUUUGUCGCGUUGUUCGUGAAAACUCACAGCUUAACUGUGGGCGUGCGGGCGAUACGGGCAGACUGGAGUACUGCAGGGGAGACUGGAAUUCCUGGUGUAGCGGUGGAAUGCGCAGAUAUCAGGAGGAACACCGGUGGCGAAGGCGGGUCUCUGGGCAGUAACUGACGCUGAGGAGCGAAAGCGUGGGGAGCGAACAGG
Molecule: ribosomal RNA, 253 nt
Filed under: uncultured bacterium
Lineage: Bacteria
Description: partial 16S ribosomal RNA
Rfam family: Bacterial small subunit ribosomal RNA
Source: RNAcentral